UGUCUGUUAGUUUAAUGGUAGAACAAGGUAUUCCUAAUACUUUAAUCUGGGUUCGAAUCUUAGACAGAUAA
Molecule: transfer RNA, 71 nt
Filed under: Exutisphaerella laricina CBS 326.52
Lineage: Eukaryota; Fungi; Ascomycota; Dothideomycetes; Mycosphaerellales; Mycosphaerellaceae
Description: tRNA-Arg (CCT) (tRNA-Arg-CCT-2-1)
Rfam family: tRNA
About the family: Transfer RNA (tRNA) molecules are approximately 80 nucleotides in length. Their secondary structure includes four short double-helical elements and three loops (D, anti-codon, and T loops). Further hydrogen bonds mediate the characteristic L-shaped molecular structure. tRNAs have two regions of fundamental functional importance: the anti-codon, which is responsible for specific mRNA codon recognition, and the 3' end, to which the tRNAs corresponding amino acid is attached (by aminoacyl-tRNA synthetases). tRNAs cope with the degeneracy of the genetic code in two manners: having more than one tRNA (with a specific anti-codon) for a particular amino acid; and 'wobble' base-pairing, i.e. permitting non-standard base-pairing at the 3rd anti-codon position.
Source: RNAcentral